UUAAACAUUCGCUGAUUUAAGAUUAAUUUAUUAUCUUCCUGUUUUUUCUGUUGUUAUACUCAUUUCUUAUUAGAGAAUUGGUGUUGCUUGUUGACUUGCUCGAGUUGGUAUCAAGCAAUAUCUUGAUGGGAUUAACAGGAUAAGUGGCCAUUACUUGUGAACAUGUUACCCAUAAAAACCUAAACAGUUAUACGUUUAAUUUUAACAAACAAAAAAAUGCUCAUAGUGACCUGCUUAAUAUACUCUUUAAUCAUCCAACAUUUAAAUUUCUCAACAAUUAUAAUCGCAAGAAAGAUGCAAUGAAAUUCAUCAACAUGAAUCAAAGAGACAAUGUUCAUCAAUAGAAAAAUCCAUUUUUCUCACUACAAUCAUUCCAAUGGAAACCUAUUACAAUUAAGCUAAUAAAUAAUUUUGCUUUUACAUCUUAAUUUUACAUCUAAUGUUAGAAAAAAAAAUCAAAUUUCCAAGCAAUUGAUAAAAUCUAAAUCGUUUCCAAUGGAAAUGAAUCAUUUCAAAUGAUAGAAAAUCGAUGGACCGUAUAUUAAGUGCCCGAAAAUAUUCUAAUCAAAAUGACCUAAUAAGUUGUCGAUCGCGACCAUACCAAAGUCGUGAGAACUCAAAAUGAUAAAAUUCCGGUCGAGGAAAAUGACCUUCGAAUCAAUCCUAAUCCAAUUCGAAAUCGAAUCAAAUUAGUUCUUCUCAAACUGUUAUAAGAAUACGACCCCUAAUAAUUUUUCUCUUUAAAAAAAUUUCUGGUUUAACAAAUUUUCUUGUUUGUUGUUAAUUAAUUUAAUUUACUUAUUGUUUUCUACAUUUUUUUUUAUAAAAAUCUAAUCAACUGAUUGUGAUGUCCAUCUAUGUGGAUUAGAUUAACAUAUUGUCUUCUUUGAAUCUGUUUCGUUUUGUUCUUUUAAAGUAGCUGGUAUUUGGAGAAUGGAAAUUAAAUCUACUGAUGUUAGUUCAGAUGUUUCUAAGGUAACUAAUGUAAAAAGCGGUAGUAGUGGUAAAAAAACUCGAGAAAGUAAAAAGCGGAAUAAAAGAAAACAUCGUCGAGGUAAGAAGAAGAUUAAAUUGGAAAAGAAAAUUGCUGCUUUUACUGUUGUUAAAAAAAAGAAGGUGUUAAAUUAUCUUGAUUCCUGGUCAACACGUGAAGAAACCGGAGAGUGGAAAUUCAAUAAAGCAAUAAACAUUUGGUUGGUUAAAAAUUGGUCUAAUGAAGGUUUCAUGGAUGACGAUCAAUUCAAUAUUUUCUUAGAGUAUGUUGGUAGUUUUGGAUCGGAUUGUGCUGCUCGUCGACAAUUAGUAACCCGUGCAGAGAAAUUAUUACAAGAAUCAAGUCCAGAAGACACAACAUACAAACGAUGUCGAUCCUUGAUUCAGAUCUUAACCUAAAUGAUUGUUGUGAUAAUACCUGGACUUCCGGAGAUGUUUUCAUCAAUUUCUUUGUUAUCAUUUGUAUGGGACUACUUUUACUUUUCAAUUCCAUGUUGAAUGUUUAUAAACGAUAUGCCAUGAGAAAUGUUUCCUUCGAACUUUGACCAGCCCCAAUACCUCUAAUUAUUUAAUUCUUGCUGAUCGAUCUCAAUGCUAAUCUAAAAUGACCAUAACACCUAAUCAUCAAUUUCCUUCUUCCAUUUGUAAUUCGUUUUCGCGACUAAUUCAAAAACCAAGUGUAAUUGCAUCGCCUUGACAAUCGUGUAAAUUUGUUUACAUGACAACAAAUCAAUCUAAUCUUCAACUAUUGAUUUAAAUUGAAAAAUUACGAAUAAUUAAAAACAAACUUCAAGUUUUGGUUAAAAACAGUUAAUUCAACUCCUUUAGAUCAAAGUAAAUUUUUUUUCAUUCAUCAUGUAAAGUUAAUUAAGACACCAUAUCAAGGCUAAAGAAAAAUGAAAAAAAGCAAAAAUCAACGUUAAUACAAUAAACAACCAGAUAAUGAGACAAUUUUUUUUCAACGAUCCUUAAUCUAAAUUUUCUGUUGUCAUUACAAUUACGACAGCGUCGUCACGACAAUGGACACUUCGUAAGAAUAGCUGAUUUACACAGCAACCUCAUUAUCUGCUUGUUUACUGUAUUUGCUUCUUGUAUGCUUUCCAGUGGCGACUUUGUUUAGUUUUGCUUAACCUUAAUUCUCAAUUGUGUCUAAUUAAUUAUGCCUUCGCCGAUAAAAUCUUCCGAUGAUUUAUUGGAUGCCAAUAUAACAUUUAAAGAGGAUAAAGAGUUAAUCUAUCGAAAAUUGUAUCAAUUGGUAGAGACUGUCAACAUUGAUAUGGAUUAUCAAGUAUUCUGUAUCGUUGUUGAUCUAUUAAGAGCUGGAAUUUGUCCAGAAGCAUUAUUUGUAUUCUUUAAUAAGAUAUACCCUUAUACUCGGACUGGUUUGAAGCUUGCAGCUCGAAAGAAAUCAUUGUUGCGAUAAUACCUGGACUUGUGGAAAUGUUUAUAAUGCUAAUCUAAAAUUUUCUUCUUACAUAUCAAUUUGUUUCUUUUAAUUGUUAUUCGUUUUCGCGACUAAUUCAAAAACCAAGUGUGAUUGCAUCGCUUUGACAAUCUUGUAAAUUUGUUUACCUGAUAACAAAUCAAUCUAAUCUUCAACUAUUGAUUUAAAUUGAAAAGUUACAAAUAAUUAAAAACAAACUACAAUUUUUGGUUAAAAA
Long non-coding RNA from Panonychus citri (citrus red mite), 2654 nucleotides. RefSeq lists it as uncharacterized. Lineage: Eukaryota; Metazoa; Arthropoda; Arachnida; Trombidiformes; Tetranychidae. The record is from RefSeq and is a predicted model, not a curated record. The transcript has 3 exons.